CCUACGGGAGGCAGCAGUGGGGAAUAUUGCGCAAUGGGCGCAAGCCUGACCCAGCAACGCCGCGUGAAGGAAGAAGGCUUUCGGGAUGUAAACUUCUAUUAAGAGGGAAGAACAUAAGACGGUACAUCUUAAAUACGCCACGUCUAACUACGUGCCAGCAGCCGCGGUAACACGUAGGUGGCAAGCGUUGUCCGGAUUUACUGGGUGUAAAGGGCGUGCACACGGGAAGACAAGUCUGAAGUGAAAUCCCGUGGCUCAACCAUGGAACUGCAUUUGAAACUGUUCAGCUUGAGUACAGGAGAGGUAAGCGGAAUUCCUUGUGUAGCGGUGAAAUGCGUAGAUAUUAGGAAGAACACCAGGGGCGAAGGCGGAUGACUGGACUGUAACUGACGUUGAGGCGCGAAAGCGUGGGGAGCAAACAGGAUUAGAUACCCGGGUAGUC
This 442-nucleotide ribosomal RNA is filed under the name uncultured bacterium. RNAcentral describes it as "partial 16S ribosomal RNA". It matches the Rfam family "Bacterial small subunit ribosomal RNA", at positions 338 to 795 of the family's 1533-position model. The record is from RNAcentral.